Molecule: long non-coding RNA, 1260 nt
Organism: Anthonomus grandis grandis
Lineage: Eukaryota; Metazoa; Arthropoda; Insecta; Coleoptera; Curculionidae
Exons: 2
Source: RefSeq, a predicted model, not a curated record
UGACGUAUUAGAUUUCAAAAACUGGUGCGGAAAAUUUUAUAAAAAAACCUGUGUCUCUGAAGAAACAAAACAUUUUCCUCGUAACGAAAAGGUCAACAGCACGUCAACAGCAACAAUAAGCACGUUUUCAUAUUUUAAAUACACACCCCAACAAAAAGGCACUGUUCAAGCCUAUCCUUUUACUGACGGUUUGGUGUCACAUACAUUUAUCACAACUUGCGCAUCCCUUAGGAAAAGUUCCUAUUAAGCCGGCCCCAGACGAUGUGUGUAUGUGGCGAACGUUCGGCAUUCGCGGUAUUUCGCGGAGCCUGUGGGAGGUCAAGUGCGUGUAUCAUUCGGCAUUCGGCCGCUAUCCGAACUGCUGUCGGUUUUAGGGCACGCAUCAAAGGAGGCCGCGCUUAUUCGCGUUAGCUCCCAGACGGUGUGCUUAGCUACGCACACUUAUUUGCCUAUUUUGUCUUCAGUCAGAGUCGCGACAAGCUUAGCAGCGGGCGUUUUUGUAUAAUAUUUUUGUUAUCAUGGAAUGGUCUAAUGAUUUGGCGAUUGAAUUCUUGGAUCUGUACGAAUUAUAUCUCGUAAUAUGGGACCCAAAAUACCCAGACCACAAAAAUAGGAACAAAGUUGGCGACGCCUGGGUGCAAAUACAUUCAUCUUUUUCAAAGAAGGACCAAAUAAGUGUCGCAGAUCUAAAAAAGAAGAAAGAUUCUUUAAUGUCUAUAUUCAGAACCCUGCUUAACAGAGUUAAAGCAAGCAACAAAUCUAGUGCUGGCACAAAUGACAUUUUUAAACCAAACUGGUUUGCAUUUGAUAAAAUGCAAAAUGCUUCCUAAAAUAACCACAUAGGCUGCAAAAACCACUACUACUCCUCCCCGCUACUGUUCUAUAACUGAAGCCCUGUGGCGAACGUUUGCCAAUAAAGAUGCGAUGUGGAAUAUAUCCCGAAUGCCGUAGCAUGUGGGAGGGUAGCCGAAGCCGCAGUACGAAGGUACAUUCGCCGAAUACACACAUCGUCUGGGGCCGGCUUCAAGGCCAACAAAAUGGAGCAUAUAAGGGAAUGCACUGCUUUUGUUGCAGAAGAACACAAACCAUAUUUCGAUGCUAUUCUUCAGUGGCCUACAAUCAAUAAUCAAUGAGUGAACCGAAGAUUAGUUUUUCCAAAACAUUGUACUUUUCUAUUGAAAUUAGCUGUUUAUUUUUGACUUGUACUUUACAUAACUAAAGCGGUAUUAAAAAAAAUAAAUAUUUUUAAAAUUUACUAAA